GAUGAAGAACGUAGCGAAAUGCGAUAAGUAAUGUGAAUUGCAGAAUUCAGUGAAUCAUCGAAUCUUUGAACGCACAUUGCGCCCCCCAGUAUUCUGGCGGGCAUGCCUGUUCGAGCGUCAUUUCAACCAUCAAGCCCUGCUUGUGUUGGGGUCCUGCGGCUGCCCGCAGGCCCUGAAAACCAGUGGCGGGCUCGCUAGUCACACCGAGCGCAGUAGCACAUCUCGCUCAGGGCGUGCGGCGGGCUCCAGCCGUUAAAGCACCCACCUUUCGCAAGGUUGACCUCGGAUCAGGUAGGAAUACCCGCUGAACUUAAGCAUAUCAAUAAGGGAGGA
This 333-nucleotide unclassified non-coding RNA is filed under the name soil metagenome. RNAcentral describes it as "partial contains 5.8S ribosomal RNA, internal transcribed spacer 2, and large subunit ribosomal RNA". The stretch from base 1 to 120 matches the Rfam family "5.8S ribosomal RNA", at positions 35 to 154 of the family's 154-position model. The record is from RNAcentral.